This 73-nucleotide transfer RNA is filed under the name Mucuna pruriens. RNAcentral describes it as "tRNA-Ile". It matches the Rfam family "tRNA". Rfam says of the family: Transfer RNA (tRNA) molecules are approximately 80 nucleotides in length. Their secondary structure includes four short double-helical elements and three loops (D, anti-codon, and T loops). Further hydrogen bonds mediate the characteristic L-shaped molecular structure. tRNAs have two regions of fundamental functional importance: the anti-codon, which is responsible for specific mRNA codon recognition, and the 3' end, to which the tRNAs corresponding amino acid is attached (by aminoacyl-tRNA synthetases). tRNAs cope with the degeneracy of the genetic code in two manners: having more than one tRNA (with a specific anti-codon) for a particular amino acid; and 'wobble' base-pairing, i.e. permitting non-standard base-pairing at the 3rd anti-codon position. RNAcentral also lists the same sequence under 2 other names. The record is from RNAcentral. Lineage: Eukaryota; Viridiplantae; Streptophyta; Magnoliopsida; Fabales; Fabaceae.
GGGCUAUUAGCUCAGUGGUAGAGCGCGCCCCUGAUAAUGGGCGAGGUCUCUGGUUCAAGUCCAGGAUGGCCCA